CGGACGGGUGAGUAACGCGUGGGUAACCUGCCUCAUACAGGGGGAUAACAGUUAGAAAUGACUGCUAAUACCGCAUAAGACCACAGCACCGCAUGGUGCAGGGGUAAAAACUCCGGUGGUAUGAGAUGGACCCGCGUCUGAUUAGCUGGUUGGUGAGGUAACGGCCCACCAAGGCGACGAUCAGUAGCCGGCCUGAGAGGGUGACCGGCCACAUUGGGACUGAGACACGGCCCAA
This 235-nucleotide ribosomal RNA is filed under the name uncultured bacterium. RNAcentral describes it as "partial 16S ribosomal RNA". It matches the Rfam family "Bacterial small subunit ribosomal RNA", at positions 99 to 334 of the family's 1533-position model. The record is from RNAcentral.